GACUGUUUACCAAAAACACAGCACUCUGCUAACUCGUAAGAGGAUGUAUAGGGUGUGACGCCUGCCCGGUGCUCGAAGGUUAAUUGAUGGGGUUAGCAUUAGCGAAGCUCUUGAUCGAAGCCCGAGUAAACGGCGGCCGUAACUAUAACGGUCCUAAGGUAGCGAAAUUCCUUGUCGGUUAAAUACCGACCUGCAUGAAUGGCGUAACGAGAUGGGAGCUGUCUCAAAGAGGGAUCCAGUGAAAUUGUAGUGGAGGUGAAAAUUCCUCCUACCCGCGGCAAGACGGAGAGACCCCGUGGACCUUUACUACAGCUUGACACUGCUAUUUGGAUAAGAAUGUGCAGGAUAGGUGGGAGGCUUUGAGUAUAUGACGCCAGUUGUAUAUGAGCCAUUGUUGAGAUACCACUCUUUCUUAUUUGGGUAGCUAACCAGCUUGAGUUAUCCUCAAGUGGGACAAUGUCUGGUGGGUAGUUUGACUGGGGCGGUCGCCUCCCAAAUAAUAACGG
Molecule: ribosomal RNA, 506 nt
Filed under: Campylobacter jejuni
Lineage: Bacteria; Pseudomonadati; Campylobacterota; Epsilonproteobacteria; Campylobacterales; Campylobacteraceae
Description: partial 23S ribosomal RNA
Rfam family: Bacterial large subunit ribosomal RNA
Source: RNAcentral